AUACGGAGGGUGCAAGCGUUACUCGGAAUCACUGGGCGUAAAGGACGCGUAGGCGGGUUGGUAAGUCAGGUGUGAAAUCCUACAGCUUAACUGUAGAACUGCACUUGAAACUACCAACCUAGAGUAUGGGAGGGGGAGAUGGAAUUAGUGGUGUAGGGGUAAAAUCCGUAGAUAUCACUAGGAAUACCGAAAGCGAAGGCGAUCUCCUGGAACAUAACUGACGCUAAGGCGUGAAAGCGAGGGGAGCAAACAGGAUUAGAUACCCUAGUAGUCC
RNAcentral lists this ribosomal RNA (274 nucleotides) under uncultured bacterium. Its description in RNAcentral is "partial 16S ribosomal RNA". It matches the Rfam family "Bacterial small subunit ribosomal RNA", at positions 523 to 796 of the family's 1533-position model. The record is from RNAcentral.